Molecule: small nucleolar RNA, 132 nt
Filed under: Vicugna pacos (alpaca)
Lineage: Eukaryota; Metazoa; Chordata; Mammalia; Artiodactyla; Camelidae
Description: Small nucleolar RNA SNORA25 (ENSVPAG00000017969.1)
Source: RNAcentral
AGGUCAUUUUAAAGAGGAUUUGUGGCUUUGUGAAACCAGGAAUGUCAACAAACGCUAUAACCAAAGAUCAAAGUUCUCUGUAAGAUGUCAUAGUCGUUCAAUAGUGCUGUGUUUUCCUGAAGAGAUGAAAGA